UUGCAAUUGUAUAUUUGUAUAUAUUUUUUGCUUCAGCAAAGGCAGCGUGACAUUGAGUUUAGGAAAUCUAAUAAUGAACAGAGAUAGAGGAAAUUGAUGGUUCAAGUUCAAGCUUCAGUCAACUGUUUGGAAUUGAAGUUUAACAAGGAUCUACCUUCCGCAUUGCGCAAUAAAAGUUAUGUUUGGUAACCAACCCUUUACUUUAUUAAUUAGUAAUCAAAUGUGAAUAUUUCUACUAGCAACUAAGUCAUAACAUUGUUACUUAAUUGAACCUUCUUGAUGUCUUUUACAGGGAGCUAUCACUAAACAAAUGACUGCAAUAGAAGAAAUAGUUGCAAGUGAGUACAAUUAGCCAGACCCUCAUCUUUGUGACAAGAUCUUGAAGUUGGUCAUUUGUGAAGCGUUCUAGUUUACUAUUAGUUGCAGUUUUAGUUAUUGCUCUCUCAAUAUAUUCUUUUUCUUUCUUUCUUUCUUUUUUUCCCAAAGGAUGAUCAGUGUAAUAAUUAAACUUCAUAAUUUCUUUGUGUUUGGAGCAAGUUGUAUAUAAAUGUACACAUUAUUAAGAUUUUA
This is a long non-coding RNA of Cucumis melo (muskmelon), 570 nucleotides long. RefSeq lists it as uncharacterized. The record is from RefSeq and is a predicted model, not a curated record. NCBI's taxonomy places the organism in Eukaryota, Viridiplantae, Streptophyta, Magnoliopsida, Cucurbitales, Cucurbitaceae. The transcript is spliced from 3 exons.